Molecule: unclassified non-coding RNA, 2185 nt
Filed under: Trichogramma pretiosum
Lineage: Eukaryota; Metazoa; Arthropoda; Insecta; Hymenoptera; Trichogrammatidae
Description: pyrethroid hydrolase Ces2a-like, transcript variant X1
Source: RNAcentral
CAUUGUGUUUAAUGCACGCGCGCAUAAAGUACAGUAACAAUAGUUAUACAUACCGAUCGUGUAUAAUGACGUCUUCGCGGACGAUAAUCGGCGCUGUCGCCUUGACUUGUGCCCUCGUGCCAAUUUGCUGGCCCGAAAUCCGAGCUGAAAAUUUGACGUACACGUCGGUGAUCGAGACGGCGGGGGGAAAGCUGCGCGGCGCCGUUUUCCGGACGAUCAGGAAGCACAAGGUGUACUCGUCGUUCAAAGGGAUACCCUUCGCAGAGCCUCCCCUUGGCUAUUUGAGAUUCAAACCGCCGGUCGAGAAGAAGAGAUGGAGCGGAGUGCUGGACGCCCUCGUGCAGGGAUCGGUCUGCACGCAGUACGACCUGUUCAACUUGACGCUCAUCGGCGCCGAGGACUGCCUGUACUUGAACGUUUUUACUCCUCACAGCGACUUCAGCAACGCGACCGAGCUCAAGGCCGUGAUGGUGUGGAUCUUCGGCGGUGGCUACCUCACCGGCUAUCCUAACACCGAAUUCACCGGACCGGAUUUUCUUCUCGAGAAAGACAUCAUCCUCGUGGCCAUGAACUAUCGUCUCGGCGCGCUCGGCUUUCUCAAUCUCGAUCACGAGAACGCCACGGGAAACGCCGGCCUCAAGGACCAGACCCUGGCUCUCCGCUGGGUGCAGCGGAACAUCCGCGAGUUUCGGGGCGAUCCCGAUCGCGUGACGAUUUUCGGAGUGAGCGCCGGCUCGUCCUCGGUGGACUUUCAUAUUUUGUCGCCCAUGUCCGCGGGUCUGUUCAGCCGAUCGAUCGCCAUGAGCGGCUCCGCGAUGAACACUUGGUGGCCGCUUCAGAGCCGGCUCGAGUCGAGGAUGCAGGAGUUCGCCAUGGGCUUUCUGUUCGGUUUUCCGAGUUUCAGCAAGGAGAGUUUGCUGCAGAGUCUGUACAAGGCGGAUGCUCGAACCAUCAUCAGGAGAUCGACUUUGCUCUUGUUCCGCCCGUCUGUAGAGAGAGUCACACCUGUUGGCAAUCAGAGAUUCUUAACCGACUGUCCGGUGGACCUGUUCGCCUCCGGAAAGUACAACAAAGGACCACACAUGCUAGGCACUUCGUCAUUGGAAUUCUUAUUUUUCAUUCACGGGAUUGGAUUCGACACAGCGAUACAAGGAGAUCUUCUUAUCAAAUCAGCUUUUUCACCCGAAACGAGGGAUCGACUGUACGAAUUGCUCGGCAAGCUUUUGUAUCACUUGAGUCCUUUGCUCGAGUUGAUCAGUUUUUUGGCUCACAACGUUAUCACCCUCUUGCCGAGACUCUUGCUUCGUGGCUUUCUCGAGAUUUUUACCGAUCUAUCGUUCAGGCUCGGCAUUGAUUCCAAGCAGCAACUCAUGGCUCAGACGAACGACCAGUAUCCGAUCUAUUACUAUGAGUCGUCGUAUGCUUCUGGAAUCGUGAAGGUCGCCAAUGAAUUCCUCAAUAUACAGGGACUCGGCCACGCCGAAGAUUUGCCGAUGGUACUUUACGUUCCAAUGGUCAACGUGUCGCUCGAAGACCCAGAAGCUAAUUUCAUGAUCGAUCGCUACACGACGUUGUGGACGAAUUUCGCCAAAUACGGAAAUCCAACACCUACCGAGCAACAGGAAGAUCUUGGCUUCGCGUGGCCCGAUUCUCGAUCGACGGAUAAAAUUUUCCAUAUAAACCUCGAGACGAAACUCGAAUCCAGGCCGCAAGGACCGACGACUGGUAUUUUAGAGAAAUUGGGCGUCGGGACAUCGCGAUGGCUCAAUUUUUGCUACGUAUAAAAUAAAAUUGGAGUGAAAAACUGGAAAGUCUCAGAGCAUUUAUCGCAUCCGAAGCGAAACCGAGGUUGAUAAUUCACGUUUACCGGGGGGAUACGACAAUCCAUGCAGAUAUUCCUCCAAUCCACACUGCAUUGAAAGAUCAUCAGAGUUCCGGCAAAAGCUGGACCAAACAAACAAUGUCCUUAACCCUACGGUAUCUUCAGAAACAAUCUGGACUAUGCAAAGUUCAUAAAAUGCGUCGAGUACUUACCAUUCUAUUUUGACUGUCCUGCUGGAACGAUCUACGAUCAUUCAAAUCAUCGCUGCGAUUAUCCCAACAAGAUUCAGGAAUACAACUACGGAGAAACAAGGAACGAUGGAAGGCCUUUUUAUCGAUUCUUAUUAAAAUUAAAUGCCACUAG